Molecule: transfer RNA, 75 nt
Filed under: Staphylococcus aureus
Lineage: Bacteria; Bacillati; Bacillota; Bacilli; Caryophanales; Staphylococcaceae
Description: tRNA-Ala(tgc)
Rfam family: tRNA
About the family: Transfer RNA (tRNA) molecules are approximately 80 nucleotides in length. Their secondary structure includes four short double-helical elements and three loops (D, anti-codon, and T loops).
Source: RNAcentral
GGGGCUUAGCUCAGCUGGGAGAGCGCCUGCUUUGCACGCAGGAGGUCAGCGGUUCGAGUCCACUUAGGCCCACCA